CAUUUGCAUACACAUAAAAUCUUGGCUACUACACUACACUAGAGAGUUCAUUACCUGUGUAUAGGCAAAACAUUUUAUGAUCUUCGCUCUCAAAGCUAUCCUAAACUUUGAAUUGACUAUUUCAUCCCUUUUAGACAUUGCAUUUCCUUCUUCCAAACUCCCAAUGAGCUUUGAGUUAAAUCGUGUUGUAUCUUGUUGUAUCUCAAAAUGAACUGAUGAAUGUGCGACGAGUGGGCGAAACAAACCUGUUAGACUCCGUCAUCACUAGGAAAACACUGCGUGAUUAGCAGUUAGGGUUCAUGUCACUGUAGGCUAUUCAAAAAGGGGGCGAAAGGUGCGACGACAUCAGGAUCUUGUGGUUCUGUUGAUAAUAAAGGCUCUCUCUCUCUUUCUCUCUCGGCUGUUGCGCUCUUUCCCUCGCUCUGUAAAUGCUUUCGUCUGUUCAAAUUCCAUAGUCGCCUAGCCGGCUGCACUUUCAUACGCUAUAAACGUUGUCUGGAUCUGAAAAUGCAAUUUUGAUGGGAAGAACGUUCUAAUGUCCUUCUGGGGAAUACAAGGGCGACUCGACACUGUUUCAAGAUAGACAAAGGUGUCCUCACACGCGUAUCACAAUGGAUCUCUCAUUUAUGGCUGCGCAGUCGGUCAUGGCGGGGGCCUUCAUGGACUCGCCCAAUGAUGACGACAGCACGGACCACUCACUUUUCAACUCCUCGGCCAGCGUCCAUGCCGCCUCUAUGGCGGCCCAUGACCAGCCGGAGCGGGAGCCCAUGUCCCGCGACGCCAUCUGGCUUUGGAUUGCAAUCACCGCCACCAUAGGGAACAUUGUGGUCGUGGGAGUGGUGUACGCUUUCACUUUCUGAGUGGUGGAAGCCAUGAUGGAGACAUGCCAGCAGGAGGAAGCUUCUGGACAAGACAUUUGGACAUGAGCUAGGAACACCACAGCAGCCAACGGCCACUCUCAAAGUCUACACUGUUACAGAGCAGUGAAUGAUUCUUGCAUUGGCAUCUUGUCCAAGCAUUUGAAAGACAAGGCAUUGUUCACAAUUACAGAAAUUAAUAUGUGUAAUAUGUUGGUCAUGUUACUGCAGCCAAAGGUCAAAAUAUGGAAUAUUGUAUACAUUAGUGCUGUUGACUAUACAUUAAGAUGUUAACAUUUCUGAUGAAGCUUUAAAUAGUGAACAGUGAUGUACUCUGAAUACCCUCAGAUGUGAUUGGUAAAUUCUGAAAUCAUUGGACGUAAAAUAUUCAGAUAAUAAAACCUUAGUAAUGUGCCGUUUGGAGCGUUUAGAGAUCAUUGAAUGGAAAGUAACACCGGUAAGUUUUUAACAUGUCUUUAACAUCACAGUCGUUACUGUAUUCUACAUAUAUCUGCCCAAAAUAUGGAGUUUAUGACAAACAUACUAGACACAGAAUGUCCAAAGAUCUUUACUGUCUGCAUGACAAUAUAGUUCCACCUGACAGCAUCAGUUUUGGAUCAAGUUAAUCUAGUUCUCCGCUUUUCUCCUCUUUUUUGCCUAAGUGAGCCUUGAGUGCUGAAUAGACAAUAUUUUCCCAGCAUAUUUAUAUCUAAGAUGGUAGGGGUAACCUAAAUCUAUUUCUCUUAAACACUCCUAUCAGACCUCAAACCCAUAUGAGCGGGAACUACAAUUUAUAGGAAUGGAUGUUCACCUUGAACACUUUUCACAGAUGUUUACAUGUGGAAACAACAUUCCUCACACUUAGAAGUCACUUGGAUUCAAGUCUAGUGUACAUACAUCUUGAUGUGACUGCUGUAACCAUUUCAAUGUCGGUCUUGAUGUAUAUUUUGAUCGAGUAUUAUCUUUCUUCCUCUUUAUAGUCUCAAACACAUUGUAACCCAAACUGCCUUCCAAGCCAAAUAGUUUUAAUGAGCCCUGGAUGCGACAAUAGUCAGUUGCCAUAGCGAUGCAUCUCUGUCGCUAUGUGCCUCAAAGAUACCAUGUCUCUCGUUCCCAGUGCAGCACACCUGUUUAUCUCUCUCUAAACUCCCUAGCACAUCUACCUAACAGACACACACACACACACACACACACACACACACACACACACACACACACACACACACACACACACACACACACACAGGCUCUUUACAUGUGGACAUCGAUCACAUCAUACAUUAGCUGAUACUCUAUAACAUUAAGAGUCAACUUAGAUACCAUAAGUUGAAUGAUACUCUACACAUAUGAGCUUUAGAGCUCAAAUUGUUUUCUACUGCUGGUUGCCCUUAGAUACCAUAAGCAUUUCAUAUAGUAGAGCAGGACUCUCCAACCCUGUUCCUGGAGAGCUACCCUCCUGUAGGUGUUCUCUCCAACCCUGUUCCGGGAGAGCUACGCUUCUGAAGGUGUUCUCUCCAACCCUGUUCCUGGAGAGCUACCCUCCUCUAGGUGUUCUCUCCAACCUUGUUCCUGGAGAGCUAUCCUCCUCUAGGUUUUCAUUCCAACCCUAAUACAGCACACCUGAUUCAAAUAAUUAGCUGGUUGAUGAGCAGAAUCCGGUCAGUUACAACUGGGGUUGCAGCAAAACUACUGGAGGGUAGCUCUCCAGGAACAGGGUUGGAGAGAACACCUACAGGAGAGUUGCUCUCCAGGAACAGGGUUGGAGAGAACACCUACAGGAGAGUAGUUCUCCAGGAACAGGAUUGGAGAGAACACCUACAGGAGAGUAGCUCUCCAGGAACAGGGUUGGAGAGAACACCUACAGGAGAGUAGCUCUCCAGGAACAGGAUUGGAGAGAACACCUACAGGAGAGUAGCUCUCCAGGAACAGGAUUGGAGAGAACACCUACAGGAGAGUAGCUCUCCAGGAACAGGAUUGGAGAGAACACCUACAGGAGAGUAGCUCUCCAGGAACAGGAUUGGAGAGAACACCUACAGGAGAGUAGCUCUCCAGGAACAGGAUUGGAGAGAACACCUACAGGAGAGUAGCUCUCCAGGAACAGGAUUGGAAAGCCCUGCUCUUCACAUAUUGUGUUUACCCCGGAGAGCCAGAAUAGUUGUCUACUGCUUUUACUGUGUGCCCUUGGUGCACAUUGGUGUCAGCGGUGGGAUUCAGAGAAAGUUACCAGACAGAGGGCAUCCACACCUCCAAACCCCAAAGUCACUCUCUAAAUUGCAGCAGGCAGACACUAAGCUCCCCUUUAAGUGUAGUGUUGAGACUGGGAGGCUACAUCUCUGAUGUGUCUCUGCCUCAUCGUAGAGCAGACCCCAGGAGGUCAAACACAACAUUAAUACAGUCACAGUUUGUGAAUAGUCAAAGUCUGCUUUUCAAAUGGCACCCUAUUCCCCAAAUAACACACUGUGGGCCCUGGUCAAAAGUAGUGCACUAUGUAGGGAAUAGGGCACCAUUUGGGAUGCUGACAUUUGUUUGACUGUGACGGCAGGGACGGUCACCGCGUGAUGUAGUCCUGGGAUAGGGGAUACAAUGUCCUUUUGAUUAUAAUGGAUGAGACCUUCAUAUGGUUUGGUGUGAUAAGUUGGUCCGUUAUUAACCUUGAUUAAUCAAUCAUUAACGGAGAGAUGGAUGACUUGUUGAAGCGGUCUUAAUGAUAUGCUGAUUAAGAAAUCUCUCUUUUUCUGGAGAAGUAUGAUUUUUUUUAAUGAGAUUGAGCUCAAUUAAAAAAUAUAUAAUUUAAUUUGGGCGUAGAUGGAUUUGAUGUGAAAUCAGAUAUUAACCCCAUUCUAGAUUAUCCAUAUAAAAUUGUCCAAACAGCAAACUAUUUCAAGACAAUAACUCAGAAGACGUAUACAUGGAUGUUUGAGUACGCUCUGCAUACUCUGAGCAGUUGAUUAUGACUUUGUUCCAGUUCGUUAACUAAGUAUUCAAGGUCUUACUGAAAAUACCAUUUGUAAAGAUAGAUGGUGUGAUAAUCCACACUGUUCUUCACUUGCAGUGUAACUAUGGUCUUUUGUAUCAGUUAUUAUGUAUGUACUAUUAAAAUGUAGUUUGGUAAAUGUCAUCAAUAAAUGUCAUGUGGCUGGGUGUGAUCAUUCACAGAAACACAGAAUCAUCCUUGAGGAUACAUUUUAUUUGAUCUAAUGUUAUUUCAUUAAAGUUGUCUAAAAAUAAUUCAAGUAUAUGUCACAGGAGUCAUUAAGCAUGUUCUCAUGUUCUUCUGUCAUUCUCAAUAUCAUCCUCACAUGCAAUAAUUAUUAUGUUCAGAGAUAAUAAUCUGAAUGGCAUUAACCAGUGUGAGAUGAUUGAUGAGUGUUUCAAUAUCCAAGCAGUUUCUCAACCUCAAUCGAUCACAGAAAUGCUGCAUUAUGUUUCAUAUGAAGCUCUACUGGUUGGUAUUGAAACGCUGAUGUUUCAGAUUACUUUUAUCAUGCCAGUGGCCUACAGAAUGC
This 4363-nucleotide long non-coding RNA is filed under the name Salmo salar (Atlantic salmon). RNAcentral describes it as "lncRNA (ENSSSAG00000088777.1)". Lineage: Eukaryota; Metazoa; Chordata; Actinopteri; Salmoniformes; Salmonidae. The record is from RNAcentral.